AAUUGUAGGCGGUUUGUGUGUGGAUCUCGUCAGCAUAUCGUCGCAAACAGGUAAUCCCCAACCAUAGUGGGCUUGGAGCUAUGAGGGAAUUCGGAGUGGCCACCCGUUCUGAAAGUUUGAUUUUCUUCUGGUGAACUGGACAUCCUUUUAUUUACGUUUGAAGUUUUGGGUUUUUAAAUGUAAUAAGCCCGCUUAAUUAUUUUUGAUGGUUUUAAUAUGUAUUACUAAGAUAGGUAUUACUUAUUUUAACUGUUGAAAUUGGAUAGCUUUAGGGCGCGUUUUCAAAAACAACAA
This is a long non-coding RNA of Gossypium arboreum, 294 nucleotides long. RefSeq lists it as uncharacterized. The record is from RefSeq and is a predicted model, not a curated record. NCBI's taxonomy places the organism in Eukaryota, Viridiplantae, Streptophyta, Magnoliopsida, Malvales, Malvaceae. The transcript is spliced from 2 exons.